GAUGAAGAACGUAGCGAAAUGCGAUACUUGGUGUGAAAUGCAGAAUCCCGUGAAUCAUCGAGUCUUUGAACGCAAGUUGCGCCCGAAGCCAUUAGGCCGAGGGCACGCCUGCCUGGGCGUCACACGUCGUUGCCCCCCCAUCUACUCCUUCGGGAUUGCGGGGGGCGGAUGAUGGCCUCCCGUGCGCCUCGCCGCGCGGUUGGCAUAAAUGCCAAGUCCUCGGCGACGUACGCCACGACAAUCGGUGGUUGCGAAACCUCGGUUGCCCGUCGUGUGCGGUCGUCGCGCAUCGAGGGCUCGAAAAAAUUGCCGGGCUCCGGCUCGGCUUUCAACGCGACCCCAGGUCAGGCGGGGUUACCCGCUGAAUUUAAGCGUAUCAAUAAGCGGAGGA
Molecule: unclassified non-coding RNA, 391 nt
Filed under: soil metagenome
Description: partial contains 5.8S ribosomal RNA, internal transcribed spacer 2, and large subunit ribosomal RNA
Rfam family: 5.8S ribosomal RNA (bases 1-122)
Source: RNAcentral